UUUCCUUCCAAAGUAGCUCUCCCCUCUCAUUAUAGCUGUUGAAUUAGUCAUCAGCCAAUUCUUUUAAAAAUAAUGUAUAUAAUUAUAGUUGUCAACAUAGUUGGUUUAGUAUUGUGAAGAGGAUAGUUGCUUGGCUACCUAAGAACUAGUUUUAGAACUUAGAAAUGAGAAUCAUUAUUUAAUCAUGGUUCAUGUUGUGUGGCGAAUGCCGCAGACUGAUGUUUUUUCUUUUCUUUUCCAGUUAUAUAAAUAUAUUUAUUCAAUGGAUUUGAUUAUGUUGUGUUAUGCUUGUUUCACUUAAUUCCUCGGUUCUGUUGGUAUAUUCAAGUCCUUCAAAUCUUCAAUGAUAUUUUGGUUUAUAAUUACAUAUAUAUGUUAUUUAUCACAGGAUUCUGAUUCGAUGUCUUGUAAUUUAUAACUUUGAUGGCACAAAAAUUUGAAAUAGUCAUUGAAGAUCAAGCUGGAAAACAGUUCAAAUCUAGGAUCAAUUGAGGAAGCUGAAAUGACAAAUCAAUGGAUUGAUUUAUUUAGGGAUUUGAUAUAUGAAUACUUGAUUUGCUCGGCAUUUACGGGUACCUGGUCGCAUGUGCAAGAGCGAAGUGAUCGUUAUAUUUUUUUUAGCUUUCCUACUUUUAUGGUUGCAUGUGCAAAAGUGAAGUGGUCAUUAUAUUUUUUUAGCUUUCUUACUUUCAUUUCUACGGGUCAAGUGGAUAUGCUUUGAUUGCUUGUUGCUCCAGGUUAGGACUAAAAACUAAAAUAUUUUUUUAGCUUUCUUAUGUUUUGUGUCUACCUAAUUCAGCAUGCCUUGAAUUAUUUAGUACUUGGGUUACACAUUAUAUUAAAGAUUUUGUCUAUAGGUUUGAAGUAGGACACAUAAGAUUUUGCCUUUAAGUGAAACUAUUUACUACUUGGGUUUGCACUUUGCACACGUGUCAGUAUAAUACUAUAGUUCACUGUCCUACAUUUCCAUGUGUUAUAUUUGACUAGACAAAUACUUAUUCAAUUUCAUCAACUCCAAUUA
Cicer arietinum (chickpea) is the source of this 1021-nucleotide non-coding RNA. The record is from RefSeq and is a predicted model, not a curated record. Lineage: Eukaryota; Viridiplantae; Streptophyta; Magnoliopsida; Fabales; Fabaceae.